This 484-nucleotide ribosomal RNA is filed under the name uncultured bacterium. RNAcentral's name for it is "partial 16S ribosomal RNA". It matches the Rfam family "Bacterial small subunit ribosomal RNA", at positions 30 to 507 of the family's 1533-position model. The record is from RNAcentral.
AUUGAACGCUGGCGGCAGGCCUAACACAUGCAAGUCGAGCGGAUGAAGGGAGCUUGCUUCUUGAUUCAGCGGCGGACGGGUGAGUAAUGCCUAGGAAUCUGCCUGUUAGUGGGGGAUAACGUCCGGAAACGGGCGCUAAUACCGCAUACGUCCUGAGGGAGUAAGUGUGGGAUCUUCGGACCUCACGCUAUCAGAUGAGCCUAGGUCGGAUUAGCUAGUUGGUGGGGUAAAGGCCUACCAAGGCGACGAUCCGUAACUGGUCUGAGAGGAUGAUCAGUCACACUGGAACUGAGACACGGUCCAGACUCCUACGGGAGGCAGCAGUGGGGAAUAUUGGACAAUGGGCGAAAGCCUGAUCCAGCCAUGCCGCGUGUGUGAAGAAGGUCUUCGGAUUGUAAAGCACUUUAAGUUGGGAGGAAGGGCAGUAAGUUAAUACCUUGCUGUUUUGACGUUACCAACAGAAUAAGCACCGGCUAACUUCGUG